Molecule: ribosomal RNA, 845 nt
Filed under: Engystomops petersi (Peters' dwarf frog)
Lineage: Eukaryota; Metazoa; Chordata; Amphibia; Anura; Leptodactylidae
Description: partial large subunit ribosomal RNA
Rfam family: Bacterial large subunit ribosomal RNA
Source: RNAcentral
GUCAAAGCUUACUUCCAUAAUUUUUUAAUACUAUUAUUUACAAUGAACCCUUUAUUUUUACUGAAUAUUUCUAUAAAGUUAUAGAACCUUUUAUGUUGAAACUAGUAACAAGAAGUUAAACUUCUCCUCAAUAUAAGUAUAAGUCGACUAGGAUAAACCAUCGACAAUUAACGCUUAAAUUAAAUGUAUUAACUCCACAAGAAAAACUUACAUUACCCCACGUUAAUCUUACACCAGAACAUUUAAGGAAAGAUUUAAAAAAAAGGAAGGAACUCGGCAAACAUUAACCCCGCCUGUUUACCAAAAACAUCGCCUUCUGAUAUAUUAUAGAAGGUCCAGCCUGCCCAGUGAAUUAAUUUAACGGCCGCGGUAUCCUAACCGUGCGAAGGUAGCGUAAUCACUUGUUCUUUAAAUGAGGACUAGUAUGAAUGGCACCACGAAGGUUAUACUGUCUCCCUUUUUUGAUCAGUUAAACUAAUCUUCACGUGAAGAAGCGUGAAUAAACAUAUAAGACGAGAAGACCCUAUGGAGCUUAAAAUUACACAACAAUUGUUAAAAAAAUCCUAAAUUUUAUAAAUAAUUUUUUACUAAACACCAUGAUUGCUAAUUUUUGGUUGGGGUGACCGCGGAGUAAAAAUUAACCUCCACAAUGAAAGAAAUCAAUAUUCUAAACUAAGAGCUACAACUCAAAGUAUUAAUAUUUUAACAUUCUUUGAUCCAAUAUUUGAUCAACGAACAAAGUUACCCUAGGGAUAACAGCGCAAUCUACUUUGAGAGCUCCUAUCGACAAGUAGGUUUACGACCUCGAUGUUGGAUCAGGGUAUCCUAGUGGUGCAGCCGCUACU